UUUAAUUUCAUUUCACUUUUUACCAACCAAUGACGUGACAUGGAUGCAUUGUUCAAGGGCAAGAAACACAAUCAAACUCGAUUCCUGAUUGCUGGUGGUGAUCAAGGCUAAUGCUUCAUAUUGCGCUCAGUUGCUCCACCUCUUCUCACCCUGCCCUCAGGUGAUUGGGGAGAUUUUUAUCUGAGCUACAUAUGUUUCCAGCUGAUAAAAAAAUAUAGUAUAUUCUUCUGGGACUCUUUUUAUAAACCAAAUCUUCCAUUUCCAUGCUAUUAUUAUGCAGAUUUCAGAUUCUGACAGACCUCAUUCCUCAAAAUGAUCAGAAAAGAUACUGUUUCUUUCUUGUUGGAGUUCUUUUAUUCUUGCUGCUGUAUAGAACCUUUCUUGUAGUUUUCUAAGCUUGAAUAUUACUUUAGUAAUCUUUCUGAGCUUCAAUAUAACUUUAGUAGUCUUUAGUA
Lactuca sativa (garden lettuce) is the source of this 455-nucleotide long non-coding RNA. RefSeq lists it as uncharacterized. NCBI's taxonomy places the organism in Eukaryota, Viridiplantae, Streptophyta, Magnoliopsida, Asterales, Asteraceae. The record is from RefSeq and is a predicted model, not a curated record.